This 503-nucleotide ribosomal RNA is filed under the name uncultured bacterium. RNAcentral describes it as "partial 16S ribosomal RNA". It matches the Rfam family "Bacterial small subunit ribosomal RNA", at positions 28 to 523 of the family's 1533-position model. The record is from RNAcentral.
GAUGAACGCUAGCGACAGGCCUAACACACGCAAGUCGAGGGGUAGCAGGAUGUAGCAAUACAUCGCUGACGACCGGCGCACGGGUGAGUAACGCGUAUGCAACCUACCUUCUACAGGGGGAUAGCCCGGAGAAAUCCGGAUUAAUACCCCAUAAAACAGGGACUCCGCAUGGAGAUAUUUGUUAAAGAUUAAUCGGUAGAAGAUGGGCAUGCGUUCCAUUAGCCAGUUGGUGAGGUAACGGCUCACCAAAGCAACGAUGGAUAGGGGAACUGAGAGGUUUAUCCCCCACACUGGAACUGAGACACGGACCAGACUCCUACGGGAGGCAGCAGUGAGGAAUAUUGGUCAAUGGGCGCGAGCCUGAACCAGCCAAGUCGCGUGAAGGAAGACUGCCUUAUGGGUUGUAAACUUCUUUUAUAUGAGAAUAAAAAGAGUUACGUGUAACUUAUUGCAGGUAUCAUAUGAAUAAGCAUCGGCUAACUCCGUGCCAGCAGCCGCGGUAA